RNAcentral lists this ribosomal RNA (450 nucleotides) under uncultured bacterium. RNAcentral describes it as "partial 16S ribosomal RNA". It matches the Rfam family "Bacterial small subunit ribosomal RNA", at positions 354 to 796 of the family's 1533-position model. The record is from RNAcentral.
GUGGGGAAUUUUGGACAAUGGGCGAAAGCCUGAUCCAGCAAUGCCGCGUGCAGGAUGAAGGCCCUCGGGUUGUAAACUGCUUUUGUACGGAACGAAAAGCCUGGGGCUAAUAUCCCCGGGUCAUGACGGUACCGUAAGAAUAAGCACCGGCUAACUACGUGCCAGCAGCCGCGGUAAUACGUAGGGUGCAAGCGUUAAUCGGAAUUACUGGGCGUAAAGCGUGCGCAGGCGGUUUUGUAAGACAGUGGUGAAAUCCCCGGGCUCAACCUGGGAACUGCCAUUGUGACUGCAAGGCUAGAGUGCGGCAGAGGGGGAUGGAAUUCCGCGUGUAGCAGUGAAAUGCGUAGAUAUGCGGAGGAACACCGAUGGCGAAGGCAAUCCCCUGGGCCUGUACUGACGCUCAUGCACGAAAGCGUGGGGAGCAAACAGGAUUAGAUACCCUAGUAGUCC